RNAcentral lists this ribosomal RNA (80 nucleotides) under Staphylococcus pseudintermedius. RNAcentral's name for it is "partial 16S ribosomal RNA". It matches the Rfam family "Bacterial small subunit ribosomal RNA", at positions 1 to 80 of the family's 1533-position model. The record is from RNAcentral. Lineage: Bacteria; Bacillati; Bacillota; Bacilli; Caryophanales; Staphylococcaceae.
UUUAUGGAGAGUUUGAUCCUGGCUCAGGAUGAACGCUGGCGGCGUGCCUAAUACAUGCAAGUCGAGCGAACAGAUAAGGG